Molecule: ribosomal RNA, 468 nt
Filed under: uncultured bacterium
Lineage: Bacteria
Description: partial 16S ribosomal RNA
Rfam family: Bacterial small subunit ribosomal RNA
Source: RNAcentral
GACGAACGCUGGCGGCGUGCUUAACACAUGCAAGUCGAACGGAAAGGCCCUGCUUUUGUGGGGUGCUCGAGUGGCGAACGGGUGGGUAACACGUGAGUAACCUGCCCUUGACUUUGGGGUAACUUCAGGAAACUGGGGCUAAUACCGGAUAGGAGCUCCGGCUGCAUGGUGGGGGUUGGAAAGUUUCGGCGGGUGGGGAUGGACUCGCGGCUUAUCAGCUUGUUGGUGGGGGAGUGGCUUACCCAGGCUUUGCCGGGUAGCCGGCCUGAGAGGGUGACCGGCCACAGUGGGAUUGAGACUCGGCCCAGACCCCUACGGGGGGCAGCAGUGGGGGAUAUUGCACAAUGGGCGGGAGCCUGAGCCAGCAACGGCGCGUGCGGGAGGGUGGUCUUCGGGUUGGAAACCGCUUUCGCCUUUGACGAAGCGGGAGUGGCGGUAAUGGGGAAAGAAGCACCGGCUAACUACGUG